UUGUGGAGGAGGACGCCGAAGGUGGGGCUGAUGACUGGGGUGAAGUCGUAACAAGGUAGCCGUACCGGAAGGUGCGGCUGGAUCACCCCUACAGGGAGACAAACUGAUUAUGAUGUCUGAUUUUAAAAUUUAGGCCUUAAUCCUGUCACCUUAGGUCGAUCGGUACCUCUGAUUAAUAACUUUAAAUUUGAGAAAUCACUUUUAAAAAUUAUUUAGUUUUAGUUCCUAAACUUGUCUAGGUCACACCCAACAAACUUUUCUUCUGGGCUAUUAGCUCAGGCGGUUAGAGCGCACCCCUGAUAAGGGUGAGGUCCCUGGUUCAAGUCCAGGAUGGCCCAUUCGUUGUUGGGGGUAUAGCUCAGUUGGUAGAGCGCCUGCUUUGCAAGCAGGAUGUCAGCGGUUCGAGUCCGCUUACCUCCACUGAUCAACUACCUGAUAACUCAAUUUGGAGAUUGUAGUUUGUUGUAUGUGAUUUAGAGUUGUUCCUCUGAAUGGAACCUAGCUUCCUAUCUUUUCUAAUUUUUAUUAGUCUGAUAAGACGCUGGGCUCACUGAUUAUUCAAAUGAAUAUCAGUUUGAUUCAGCAGAACCUUGACAACUGCAUAGGAAAGUCUGGAAAGAAAAAAGCAUCUCAUAGAUGCAUAUAAAAUCUGAAUUUUCAGUUUUAAAACUGGAUAAUUUUUUAUAUGUUCAAUUCUUGAGUUAGAGCAAAAUUUCUAUAACUUAAAUGUCCACUUAUUUAAUAGUGGAUAACUAAAUUUACUUUAGUCAGUUUAUAGAUAUUAUUAAUGGUCAAGCUACAA
This 802-nucleotide unclassified non-coding RNA is filed under the name uncultured Prochlorococcus sp. Its description in RNAcentral is "partial 16S-23S ribosomal RNA intergenic spacer; may also contain 16S ribosomal RNA and 23S ribosomal RNA". The stretch from base 348 to 420 matches the Rfam family "tRNA". Lineage: Bacteria; Bacillati; Cyanobacteriota; Cyanophyceae; Synechococcales; Prochlorococcaceae. The record is from RNAcentral.